Molecule: ribosomal RNA, 392 nt
Filed under: uncultured Gammaproteobacteria bacterium
Lineage: Bacteria; Pseudomonadati; Pseudomonadota; Gammaproteobacteria
Description: bacterial SSU rRNA
Rfam family: Bacterial small subunit ribosomal RNA
Source: RNAcentral
AAUGGGGGAAACCCUGAUGCAGCGAUGCCGCGUGAGUGAAGAAGGCCUUUGGGUUGUAAAGCUCUUUCGUCGGGGAAGAAAAUGACUGUACCCGAAUAAGAAGGUCCGGCUAACUUCGUGCCAGCAGCCGCGGUAAUACGAAGGGACCUAGCGUAGUUCGGAAUUACUGGGCUUAAAGAGUCCGUAGGUGGUUAAAAAAGUUGGUGGUGAAAUCCCAGAGCUUAACUCUGGAACUGCCAUCAAAACUUUUUAGCUAGAGUAUGAUAGAGGAAAGCAGAAUUUCUAGUGUAGAGGUGAAAUUCGUAGAUAUUAGAAAGAAUACCAAUUGCGAAGGCAGCUUUCUGGAUCAUUACUGACACUGAGGAACGAAAGCAUGGGUAGCGAAGAGGAUU